GGGACACGUGGUAUCCUGUCUGAAUAUGGGGGGACCAUCCUCCAAGGCUAAAUACUCCUGACUGACCGAUAGUGAACCAGUACCGUGAGGGAAAGGCGAAAAGAACCCCGGCGAGGGGAGUGAAAAAGAACCUGAAACCGUGUACGUACAAGCAGUGGGAGCACCUUCGGGUGUGACUGCGUACCUUUUGUAUAAUGGGUCAGCGACUUAUAUUCUGUAGCAAGGUUAACCGUAUAGGGGAGCCGCAGGGAAACCGAGUCUUAACUGGGCGUUAAGUUGCAGGGUAUAGACCCGAAACCCGGUGAUCUAGCCAUGGGCAGGUUGAAGGUUGGGUAACACUAACUGGAGGACCGAACCGACUAAUGUUGAAAAAUUAGCGGAUGACUUGUGGCUGGGGGUGAAAGGCCAAUCAAACCGGGAGAUAGCUGGUUCUCCCCGAAAGCUAUUUAGGUAGCGCCUCGUGAAUUCAUCUUCGGGGGUAGAGCACUGUUUCGGCUAGGGGGUCAUCCCGACUUACCAACCCGAUGCAAACUACGAAUACCGAAGAAUGUUAUCACGGGAGACACACGGCGGGUGCUAACGUCCGUCGUGAAGAGGGAAACAACCCAGACCGCCAGCUAAGGUCCCAAAGUCAUGGUUAAGUGGGAAACGAUGUGGGAAGGCACAGACAGCCAGGAUGUUGGCUUAGAAGCAGCCAUCAUUUAAAGAAAGCGUAAUAGCUCACUGGUCGAGUCGGCCUGCGCGGAAGAUGUAACGGGGCUAAACCAUGCACCGAAGCUGCGGCAGCGACACUAUGUGUUGUUGGGUAGGGGAGCGUUCUGUAAGCCUGCGAAGGUGUGCUGUGAGGCAUGCUGGAGGUAUCAGAAGUGCGAAUGCUGACAUAAGUAACGAUAAAGCGGGUGAAAAGCCCGCUCGCCGGAAGACCAAGGGUUCCUGUCCAACGUUAAUCGGGGCAGGGUGAGUCGACCCCUAAGGCGAGGCCGAAAGGCGUAGUCGAUGGGAAACAGGUUAAUAUUCCUGUACUUGGUGUUACUGCGAAGGGGGGACGGAGAAGGCUAUGUUAGCCGGGCGACGGUUGUCCCGGUUUAAGCAUGUAGGCUGGUUGUCCAGGCAAAUCCGGAUAAUCAAGGCUGAGGUGUGAUGACGAGGCACUACGGUGCUGAAGUAACAAAUGCCCUGCUUCCAGGAAAAGCCUCUAAGCAUCAGGUAACAUUAAAUCGUACCCCAAACCGACACAGGUGGUCAGGUAGAGAAUACCAAGGCGCUUGAGAGAACUCGGGUGAAGGAACUAGGCAAAAUGGUGCCGUAACUUCGGGAGAAGGCACGCUGGUGUGUAGGUGAAGUCCCUGCGG
This 1352-nucleotide ribosomal RNA is filed under the name Klebsiella pneumoniae. RNAcentral's name for it is "partial 23S ribosomal RNA". It matches the Rfam family "Bacterial large subunit ribosomal RNA", at positions 419 to 1779 of the family's 2925-position model. Lineage: Bacteria; Pseudomonadati; Pseudomonadota; Gammaproteobacteria; Enterobacterales; Enterobacteriaceae. The record is from RNAcentral.